Molecule: ribosomal RNA, 491 nt
Filed under: Salmonella enterica subsp. enterica serovar Enteritidis
Lineage: Bacteria; Pseudomonadati; Pseudomonadota; Gammaproteobacteria; Enterobacterales; Enterobacteriaceae
Description: partial 23S ribosomal RNA
Rfam family: Bacterial large subunit ribosomal RNA
Source: RNAcentral
UGCCCUGGCAGUCAGAGGCGAUGAAGGGCGUACUAAUCUGCGAUAAGCGCCGGUAAGGUGAUAUGAACCGUUAUAACCGGCGAUACCCGAAUGGGGAAACCCAGUGUGAUUCGUCACACUAUCAUUAACUGAAUCCAUAGGUUAAUGAGGCGAACCGGGGGAACUGAAACAUCUAAGUACCCCGAGGAAAAGAAAUCAACCGAGAUUCCCCCAGUAGCGGCGAGCGAACGGGGAGGAGCCCAGAGCCUGAAUCAGCAUGUGUGUUAGUGGAAGCGUCUGGAAAGGCGCGCGAUACAGGGUGACAGCCCCGUACACAAAAGCGCAUGUGCUGUGAGCUCGAUGAGUAGGGCGGGACACGUGGUAUCCUGUCUGAAUAUGGGGGGACCAUCCUCCAAGGCUAAAUACUCCUGACUGACCGAUAGUGAACCAGUACCGUGAGGGAAAGGCGAAAAGAACCCCGGCGAGGGGAGUGAAAAAGAACCUGAAACCGU